UACGUAGGCCGCAAGCGUUGUUCGGAGUUACUGGGCGUAAAGGGUGUGUAGGCGGUUCUUUAAGUUUGGUGUGAAAUCUCCCGGCUCAACUGGGAGGGUGCGCCGAAUACUGAGGGACUAGAGUACGGGAGAGGAAAGUGGAAUUCCUGGUGUAGCGGUGAAAUGCGUAGAUAUCAGGAGGAACACCGGUGGUGUAAACGGCUCACUGGACCGUAACUGACGCUGAGACACGAAAGCGUGGGUAGCAAACAGG
This 253-nucleotide ribosomal RNA is filed under the name uncultured bacterium. RNAcentral describes it as "partial 16S ribosomal RNA". It matches the Rfam family "Bacterial small subunit ribosomal RNA", at positions 524 to 776 of the family's 1533-position model. The record is from RNAcentral.